This 493-nucleotide ribosomal RNA is filed under the name uncultured bacterium. RNAcentral's name for it is "bacterial SSU rRNA". It matches the Rfam family "Bacterial small subunit ribosomal RNA", at positions 899 to 1397 of the family's 1533-position model. The record is from RNAcentral.
ACUCAAAUGAAUAGACGGGACCCCGCACAAGCGGUGGAUCAUGUUGUUUAAUUCGAAGAUACACGAAAAACCUUACCAGGUCUUGACAUACUCUGCAAAGCUAUAGAGAUAUAGUGGAGGUUAACAGAUGUACAGGUGGUGCAUGGUUGUCGUCAGCUCGUGUCGUGAGAUGUUGGGUUAAGUCCCGCAACGAGCGCAACCCUUAUUGCUAGUUACCAUCAUUAAGUUGGGGACUCUAGCGAGACUGCCAGUGAUAAACUGGAGGAAGGUGGGGAUGACGUCAAAUCAUCAUGCCCCUUAUGACCUGGGCUACAAACGUGAUACAAUGGCUGGAACAAAGAGAAGCGAAGCAGUGAUGUGGAGCCAAACUCAUAAAAACAGUCUCAGUUCGAAUUGGAGUCUGCAACUCGACUCCAUGAAGUCGGAAUCGCUAGUAAUCGCGAAUCAGCAUGUCGCGGUGAAUACGUUCUCGGGGUUUGUACACACCGCCCGU